RNAcentral lists this ribosomal RNA (474 nucleotides) under uncultured bacterium. RNAcentral describes it as "bacterial SSU rRNA". It matches the Rfam family "Bacterial small subunit ribosomal RNA", at positions 30 to 492 of the family's 1533-position model. The record is from RNAcentral.
AUUGAACGCUGGCGGCAGGCUUAACACAUGCAAGUCGAGCGGUAACAGAGAUAGCUUGCUAUCUGCUGACGAGCGGCGGACGGGUGAGUAACGCGUAGGAAUCUACCUAGUAGUGGGGGACAACAGUUGGAAACGACUGCUAAUACCGCAUACGCCCUACGGGGGAAAGCAGGGGAUCUUCGGACCUUGCGCUAUUAGAUGAGCCUGCGUCGGAUUAGCUAGUUGGUGGGGUAAUGGCCUACCAAGGCGACGAUCCGUAGCUGGUCUGAGAGGAUGAUCAGCCACACUGGGGACUGAGACACGGCCCAGACUCCUACGGGAGGCAGCAGUGGGGAAUAUUGCACAAUGGGCGCAAGCCUGAUGCAGCCAUGCCGCGUGUGUGAAGAAGGCUCUAGGGUUGUAAAGCACUUUCAGAAGGGAGGAAAGGUUGUAAGUUAAUACCUUGCAACUGUGACGUUACCUUCAGAAGAAGCA